Long non-coding RNA from Papaver somniferum (opium poppy), 1268 nucleotides. RefSeq lists it as uncharacterized. The transcript is spliced from 7 exons. The record is from RefSeq and is a predicted model, not a curated record. Lineage: Eukaryota; Viridiplantae; Streptophyta; Magnoliopsida; Ranunculales; Papaveraceae.
CAAUCUUCUCUUCCUUUCCUUUCUCCCUCUUCUCUCCUUUCUCUUUCCUCCUCAGCGGCGGAACUCUUUUUUACAAUCUUCUUCUUCUUCAUUCACUGAAUCACUGUCCAAUUUAAUAACAAUAAGAUUCAAGAAUCCACUGAUGAUAACAAAGAAGAAAAUCUUAGAUCAUUUUCUUAAUCUACAGUAAAUCACGACGACAAAGAUGAGAAAACAAAUCGAAAGUGUUGCUGAUGCGGUAUUCUUUGCUGAAGAUGGUUACUCAAUUGUUGUUUUAAGGUUACAUAUUAGGGGGGUUUGUUCUGUUGGAUUUAGGGUUACAGAUUAGGGGUUUGUUUUGUUAGAUUUAGGGUUACAGAUUAAUGGUUUCUCUAUGGUGAAAACGGGGACUACUUUGGUUUGUAUGAUUUUGUAGGUGAUGCCCAAGUUCUUGAAAGGUUUGGAAGCUCGGGAUCAAGGUUACUUGUUCUCAAGAGACUGAAUCACAUUAUUGAAAGCCUAGUAGUAUGACAGAAGAAAGCUGCUCAAGAAGCCACUAUAACCUCAGCUGCAGGAGAAAGUAUUAUUGAGCUUAAGGUCAAGACCUUGGGUUCACAGAUCUGAAAACUCCGUGUUGAAAAAAAAUAUGUUGAUGAGCUAAAAAUAUACAGAGAAAGAACUGGUAGACGCUAGGUGUAAACUUGUCCUUUGUUGAUGAGCUUAAAAGAAUUUCUGGUUGGUGUCCAAGCAUCGAAAAUGCAAAUGUGUAAUACCAAAGGUAGAAGGUUACGCAGUUGGUGGAGUACAAGUAUUGGUAUUGUAGAUGGUUAUUGAAUUAACAGUAGCUGCUGCAAUGUCAUUUUUAUCCAGACAGGCCCAUAGCUCACGAGUGUUUGCUUGAUCCUACACAUGGCAAAGGAUCAGAAGAUAGAUGAUGGUGGUCUUUGGAGCAGUUGCAGUGUAAAAUGUAUGUGUGGAAUAUGUAUGAAGAGGUUGGAGAACUUUAUCCAUGUUUUGAAGUUAUGGUGAGGUUAGGGAUUGUAGAUGUGAUAUGUAUGAAUUGCGGAUUGAAAGAGAAUAGAUUGCAGUUGUGUUUCAGGUUUAAUUGUACUGCAUGUUUGUAAACUAGAAAAUACAGGUGCAUGAUGGUAGAAUCUGUGUAGUUUGUGGUUUAUUUGUAGUUCAGGCCUGUAAACUGAGAGUGCAGGUCCAUCAUCGUGACCUGUAUCGCAGGCCUGUAAACUGGAAGCCCGGAUCCAUGAAAAUCUGGGCUACCCAUUUUUUUUUAA